RNAcentral lists this unclassified non-coding RNA (163 nucleotides) under soil metagenome. Its description in RNAcentral is "partial internal transcribed spacer 1". The record is from RNAcentral.
CGAGAGUGUCACCACUCCCAACCCACUGUUUACCUACCCGUCCACCGUGCUUCGGCAGGCAGUCUUGUGGGACAGGGCCUCGCCCCCGCGAGGGGGUGCCUGCCGCUGGCCAACCAAAAAUUCUAGCUGUUUUUGUACCAUCUGAGUCUUCCACAAAUAAACA